Molecule: ribosomal RNA, 253 nt
Filed under: uncultured bacterium
Lineage: Bacteria
Description: partial 16S ribosomal RNA
Rfam family: Bacterial small subunit ribosomal RNA
Source: RNAcentral
UACGUAGGAUGCAAGCGUUGUCCGGAAUUACCGGGCGUAAAGGGCGCGCAGGUGGCACUACAAGUCUGAUGUAAAAUCUCCCGGCUUAACUGGGAGGGGCCAUUGGAAACUGUAGAGCUGGAGUGCAGGAGAGGCUAACGGAAUUCCCGGUGUAGUGGUGAAAUGCGUAGAUAUCGGGAGGAACACCAGUGGCGAAGGCGGUUAGCUGGCCUGUAACUGACACUGAGGCGCGAAGGCUAGGGGAGCGAACAGG